RNAcentral lists this long non-coding RNA (2855 nucleotides) under Homo sapiens (human). Its description in RNAcentral is "NR2F1 regulatory antisense RNA 1, transcript variant 13 (NR2F1-AS1)". Lineage: Eukaryota; Metazoa; Chordata; Mammalia; Primates; Hominidae. The record is from RNAcentral.
GUCUCAGCUCGAGCAUUCCUAGCGCCAACACGCCCUCAGGUAAAGGUGGAAGUAAAUGGCCACGCUGUAUUGACAGAGUUUAGAGAGUUGAUAUGUCCCGCGCCAUCAGCCCGCUGAAUGGGAUCUUCCUUCAGACAGGGACUGAGAAACGGAAAUACUACCAUCCUCCAGCCAAUCUGUUGGGAGGACUGCUUGCAGAGGACUCGUGCUCCAGAUGUUGCACUAGAGGCGCUGCAAGUGUGAGCAGCAGGUAGAUGAAACUCAAGAGAAAAGGUGUGGAUAAAUGAAACUAGCCCAUGAUGAACCUGUUUUCUCCGUGACCACAAUAUUAACCAGGAUGAAUGGCGGUGGCAGUGGGCCUGCAUCACAGGUUGCAGCAGAUGUUCUCAAUAUUUCUAUUAAAAUUUCCUUAUUUCCAUAUGCAAGAGGAGCCCCAGAGCUGCAUCCUUAUGGUAGCUACCAUGCCGUGAUGUAAGCUGCCAUUCACUGGGGAGCUUUGGCAAUAGAAUUGGCUAGAUCAGGAAGCCUAUGUCAACUAUGGAACAACAACUUGCAGCUCAUCUCUAUUGAUGGUGAAACAGUCGCAAAUGGAAUUCCAAGAAACAUUCUAUCUAAGGAGAGGCCCCGGAUCAGGACAGCAGUUUCCUCAGACGUGAUGUGGUGCCCCUUGCAUCCUGCUCAGAGAAUUCUCAGCAGCACAGAUACACUGCCUCUAGGACUGGGACAGAUAGCCACUGAGUACCUGCUUCAAAUCACCCUGCACGUUUUCUCUUUGGAAAGAUAAGCACUGGAGAACCAUCUCGUUACCUUCAGCAGAAAUGGAAACAAAUCAAGACAUUAAGAAUGCCGCAGUGGACAGCAGUUAUGCAAGGUUCAGCAGAGGAAGUUUUCAAGAUGGUGUGCCUCACUAGCCAGAAAUCAGAAAAGAUCGAAGCUAGCCUUUUCAUCUCAGCUGCUCCUUAAAUCAGUGCAACCCCUCCAAAUUAAUGUGAAUUGAAACUUGCAUUGCUUUUCAACUUAAUUGAAUACUUACUAUAUGUGAACCACUGCACAAAAUAGGGGAAGAAGAUGUGGGAGACAAAGAUGUGGAGCCUGUCUUCAAUAAAUUUACAGUUAGUUUCAGGGUACAUUGUUUUUCUUCUGCUGUUAAUUAGGUGUAUCCCCAAGACAAUAAAUACAUGAAUGGAAAAGUAUAUUCUGUGUUUUAAGUCUCUUUAAUAAAAAACAAAACAAAAUCCAAAAAAACUCCUAACAUGGCAACUCAGGACAUUUUAAUCCUUUUUUUUGUUGUUGGGCUUCUGAUAGGAUCCAUUUUAUUGAUUCCAUAAAUAUUUAGUAGACUUUAGACAUAUUAAUACAUUGUAGUUUGAGUUAAUUUGCAUUAAAUUCUGUUUUUUUCCCCUUAGGUAUAGAUUGUCUGUUGGAAAAAUAUAUUGCUUGUGGAUUUCUUGGGGAGUGGGAAGGUGAAUUAUACCUGUUGUCUCUACAGUCCACUACCUUCCACACCCUAGGGCAGUGGUCCCCAACCUUCUUGGCACCAGGGAUCAGUUUCCUGGAAGACAAUUUUUCUGUGGAUGGUGUGGGGAUGGUUUUGGGAUGGAACUGUUCCACCUCAGAUCAUCAGGCAUUAGUUAGGCUCUCAUAACGAGUGCGCAGCCUAGAUCCCUCACAUGCACAGUUCACAGUAGGGUUUGCGCUGCUAUGAGAAUCUAAGGCUGCCACUGAUCUGACAGGAGGCAGAACUCAGGUGGCAAUGCUUACUGGCCCACUGCUCACCUCUUGCUGUGCGGCCUGGUUCCUAAUAGGCCAUGGACCCCCACAGACGGGUACUAGUCUGCAGCCUGUGGACCCCAGCCCUAGGGGCCUGCCAUUCUGAGUGAGUUAUUAGCAUGAAGAAGAGGAAGAUCUGGAUCAAACGUGGGUGAUGGUACUCAGAGACCCAAGAUAGGAUAGGGAUGGAACAAAAUCCAUCUGGGCAACGGCUCUAUGAAAAUUUGGCUAAGUAAUUAUUUCAGUAUUCAUUGUAUUCAUUGUCCUUCGUGUUCCAUAAGUUAAAUGACUGUCUAAUUUUUCCAAAAAUUUAUUUCUGACUUGAGAAUAAGUGUGUCAUGAUUUUCCCAGUGUAAAGACACUGAUAUAACUGUAGAUACCAGACAUUUUAUGUAGUGUCUAUGACACAUUUUAGUAUGUAUGAGCCAACAAUAGACAUGUCUUUGUCUUGAGGAGUGUCCAUCUGAAUUGAAAAUGUGUCAGCUUUUUUUUAACAUCAUCAACAGACUUCUUAAUUAAGCUGCCAAUACAUACUGCCAAUAGCACUGUGUGCUGUCUGAGAAAUGCAUUGUGUAAGUGCUAUUUCCAUCUUAUUAAAUAAACAAUGUUGCUCUGUAUAAACUGGAUUUAAAGUGUUCUUUGAAUGAGGCAUUAUAUUGCUCCAUAAAUAAUGUGAUGUGAAUUCUCAUAUGAUCCCUUUUAACUUAAUUUCUAAAAAAAUAUUAUUUGCUCCUCAGUAAGGAAUAGCUCUAAUUGGACUGGUAACUUUAGUGAUAUGAUUUGUCUGUAACAGGCUGAAUCGCCCCACUCCCAAACUCCUGGUCGUGAUACUGGAUAUUUGUUAUGCCACUUUUAGUUUGCAUGAGGUAUCUUCCAGGAAGUAUUAGUUAUUAACUUGUGUUCUACUAAACUGUAGAUAUUUAUUUCCUGUUCUGGAAGAUUUCUUGGAGUGUCCAUCUGUGCAUUCCUGGUGCCUAGUGUAGUCUUGCUAAUGGAAUAGCACCUUUAUUGGUGCUACUUAGGGGUUGGUAGCUUACAAUCAAUCUACUUGGAACGUAUCCAAAUAAACUGGAUAUUUUUAUACA